AGUGAACGCUGGCGGUAGGCCUAACACAUGCAAGUCGAACGGCAGCACAGGAGAGCUUGCUCUCUGGGUGGCGAGUGGCGGACGGGUGAGGAAUACAUCGGAAUCUACUCUGUCGUGGGGGAUAACGUAGGGAAACUUACGCUAAUACCGCAUACGACCUACGGGUGAAAGCAGGGGACCUUCGGGCCUUGCGCGAUUGAAUGAGCCGAUGUCGGAUUAGCUAGUUGGCGGGGUAAAGGCCCACCGAGGCGACGAUCCGUAGCUGGUCUGAGAGGAUGGUAGGCCACACUGGAACUGAGACACGGUCAAGACUCCUCAGGGAGGCAGCAGUGGGGAAUAUUGGACAAUGGGCGCAAGCCUGAUCCAGCCAUACCGCGUGGGUGAAGAAGGCCUUCGGGUUGUAAAGCCCUUUUGUUGGGAAAGAAAUCCAGCUGGCUAAUACCCGGUUGGGAUGACGGUACCCAAAGAAUAAGCACCGGCUAACUUCGUGCCAGCCGCCGUAAUAC
This 506-nucleotide ribosomal RNA is filed under the name uncultured bacterium. Its description in RNAcentral is "partial 16S ribosomal RNA". It matches the Rfam family "Bacterial small subunit ribosomal RNA", at positions 29 to 526 of the family's 1533-position model. The record is from RNAcentral.